Molecule: ribosomal RNA, 469 nt
Filed under: uncultured Rhodoferax sp.
Lineage: Bacteria; Pseudomonadati; Pseudomonadota; Betaproteobacteria; Burkholderiales; Comamonadaceae
Description: bacterial SSU rRNA
Rfam family: Bacterial small subunit ribosomal RNA
Source: RNAcentral
UUGACGGGACCGCACAAGCGGUGGAUGAUGUGGUUUAACUCGAUGCAACGCGAAAACCUUACCCACCUUUGACAUGUACGGAAUCCUUUAGAGAUAGAGGAGUGCUCGAAAGAGAGCCGUAACACAGGUGCUGCAUGGCUGUCGUCAGCUCGUGUCGUGAGAUGUUGGGUUAAGUCCCGCAACGAGCGCAACCCUUGUCAUUAGUUGCUACAUUUGGUUGGGCACUCUAAUGAGACUGCCGGUGACAAGCCGGAGGAAGGUGGGGAUGACGUCAAGUCCUCAUGGCCCUUAUAGGUGGGGCUACACACGUCAUACAAUGGCUGGUACAAAGGGUUGCCAACCCGCGAGGGGGAGCUAAUCCCACAAAGCCAGUCGUAGUCCGGAUCGUAGUCUGCAACUCGACUACGUGAAGUCGGAAUCGCUAGUAAUCGUGGAUCAGAAUGUCACGGUGAAUACGUUCCCGGGUCUU